UGGGGAAUAUUGGACAAUGGGGGAAACCCUGAUCCAGCGAUGCCGCGUGAAUGAAGAAGGCCUUAGGGUUGUAAAGUUCUUUCACCUGUGACGAUGAUGACGGUAACAGGAGAAGAAGCCCCGGCUAACUUCGUGCCAGCAGCCGCGGUAAUACGGAGGGGGUUAGCGUUGUUCGGAAUUACUGGGCGUAAAGCGCACGUAGGCGGAUUGGAAAGUCAGAGGUGAAAUCCCAGGGCUCAACCCCGGAAC
RNAcentral lists this ribosomal RNA (249 nucleotides) under uncultured Alphaproteobacteria bacterium. Its description in RNAcentral is "partial 16S ribosomal RNA". It matches the Rfam family "Bacterial small subunit ribosomal RNA", at positions 355 to 621 of the family's 1533-position model. The record is from RNAcentral. Lineage: Bacteria; Pseudomonadati; Pseudomonadota; Alphaproteobacteria.